UACGUAGGGUGCGAGCGUUGUCCGGAAUUAUUGGGCGUAAAGAGCUCGUAGGCGGUCUGUCGCGUCGAAUGUGAAAACCCGGGGCUCAACUCCGGGCUUGCAUUCGAUACGGGCAGGCUAGAGUUCGGUAGGGGAGUCUGGAAUUCCUGGUGUAGCGGUGAAAUGCAUAGAUAUCACGCAGAACACCGAUUGCGAAGGCAGGUGACUGGGACGCGACUGACGCUGAGGCACGAAAGUGUGGGGAGCAAACAGG
RNAcentral lists this ribosomal RNA (253 nucleotides) under uncultured bacterium. Its description in RNAcentral is "partial 16S ribosomal RNA". It matches the Rfam family "Bacterial small subunit ribosomal RNA", at positions 524 to 776 of the family's 1533-position model. The record is from RNAcentral.